RNAcentral lists this ribosomal RNA (700 nucleotides) under uncultured bacterium. RNAcentral describes it as "bacterial SSU rRNA". It matches the Rfam family "Bacterial small subunit ribosomal RNA", at positions 94 to 791 of the family's 1533-position model. The record is from RNAcentral.
AGUGGCGAACGGGUGAGUAAUGCAUCGGAACGUGCCCAGUCGUGGGGGAUAACGCAGCGAAAGCUGCGCUAAUACCGCAUACGAUCUAUGGAUGAAAGCGGGGGACCGUAAGGCCUCGCGCGAUUGGAGCGGCCGAUGUCAGAUUAGGUAGUUGGUGGGGUAAAGGCUCACCAAGCCAACGAUCUGUAGCUGGUCUGAGAGGACGACCAGCCACACUGGGACUGAGACACGGCCCAGACUCCUACGGGAGGCAGCAGUGGGGAAUUUUGGACAAUGGGCGCAAGCCUGAUCCAGCAAUGCCGCGUGCAGGAAGAAGGCCUUCGGGUUGUAAACUGCUUUUGUACGGAACGAAACGGCUCUGGUUAAUACCUGGGGCUAAUGACGGUACCGUAAGAAUAAGCACCGGCUAACUACGUGCCAGCAGCCGCGGUAAUACGUAGGGUGCAAGCGUUAAUCGGAAUUACUGGGCGUAAAGCGUGCGCAGGCGGUUUUGUAAGACAGGCGUGAAAUCCCCGGGCUCAACCUGGGAAUGGCGCUUGUGACUGCAAAGCUGGAGUGCGGCAGAGGGGGAUGGAAUUCCGCGUGUAGCAGUGAAAUGCGUAGAUAUGCGGAGGAACACCGAUGGCGAAGGCAAUCCCCUGGGCCUGCACUGACGCUCAUGCACGAAAGCGUGGGAGCAAACAGGAUUAGAUACCCUGGU